This 393-nucleotide ribosomal RNA is filed under the name uncultured bacterium. RNAcentral describes it as "bacterial SSU rRNA". It matches the Rfam family "Bacterial small subunit ribosomal RNA", at positions 28 to 422 of the family's 1533-position model. The record is from RNAcentral.
AGCGAACGCUGGCGGCGUACUUAACACAUGCAAGUCGAGCGGUAAGGCCCUUUCGGGGGUACACGAGCGGCGAACGGGUGAGUAACACGUGGGUGACCUGCCCUCAGCUCUGGGAUAAGCCUGGGAAACCGGGUCUAAUACUGGAUAUGACUCCAUGACGCAUGUUGUGGGGUGGAAAGCCUUGUGCGGCUGAGGAUGGGCCCGCGGCCUAUCAGCUUGUUGGUGGGGUGANGGCCUACCAAGGCGACGACGGGUAGCCGGCCUGAGAGGGCGACCGGCCACACUGGGACUGAGACACGGCCCAGACUCCUACGGGAGGCAGCAGUGGGGAAUCUUGCGCAAUGGGCGAAAGCCUGACGCAGCGACGCCGCGUGAGGGAUGACGGCCUGGUGU